Molecule: ribosomal RNA, 363 nt
Filed under: uncultured Kribbia sp.
Lineage: Bacteria; Bacillati; Actinomycetota; Actinomycetes; Micrococcales; Intrasporangiaceae
Description: bacterial SSU rRNA
Rfam family: Bacterial small subunit ribosomal RNA
Source: RNAcentral
UUGUGGUCGGUGGACAGGUUGGUGCAUGGUUGUCGUCAGCUCGUGUCGUGAGAUGUUGGGUUAAGUCCCGCAACGAGCGCAACCCUCGUCCUAUGUUGCCAGCGGGUCAUGCCGGGACUCAUGGGAGACUGCCGGGGUCAACUCGGAGGAAGGUGGGAUGACGUCAAAUCAUCAUGCCCCUUAUGUCUUGGGCUUCACGCAUGCUACAAUGGCCGGUACAAAGGGCUGCGAUACCGCGAGGUGGAGCGAAUCCCAAGAAAGCCGGUCUCAGUUCGGAUUGGGGUCUGCAACUCGACCCCAUGAAGUCGGAGUCGCUAGUAAUCGCAGAUCAGCAACGCUGCGGUGAAUACGUUCCCGGGCCUU